Molecule: long non-coding RNA, 4486 nt
Organism: Tachysurus vachellii
Lineage: Eukaryota; Metazoa; Chordata; Actinopteri; Siluriformes; Bagridae
Exons: 2
Source: RefSeq, a predicted model, not a curated record
UUUGGGCUGUGAGCUUUUCGUGAGGUGUAGUUUUGCUGCAGACAGGAACGGCACUGGUCUGAUGUAUUUUAUUUGCAUUUCAGUUUGUUCUUCUUGUGUAUUUUCGUGAAUUUCGUUAGUUGUAAUGUUUAUUUAUUUGUUUUUUUUUCACAUCUUUACAUUGUACAUAUGUACUAUAGAAUUAUAGAGGUAUUUUAUUAAUUAGUUUUAUUUCGACAAUGAUGACUUUGAUCAAACUCGACUAGUUAAGUUCUAAACGUACAGUUCAUACUUAAGUCUUCUGAUGUCGCGUUGGUUCACUGCUAAUUUAGUGAACGCGCUAGCUAACACUUUUUUUUAAUUUUUUUGGUUUAUUUUUUUUUUAGAUCAUCGAAAGCUUUUAUUCGUAAGAAAUUCUAUUGUCCUGUUAACUGACGUAAUGAGGGAAAAAAAUAUUCCAUGUUGAACUGCGCAGAGUUUUUGGUUUCGACAAAAUGGCGCAGAUGUCGAGAAAACAAAAUGGCCGCCGUUAAAGACGAGUCUAACUGGUUACGUUGUGAAACUAACGCAUUUUUUUGUAUACGUUUUCUGUUUUAUUUCUAAAGUCUGUUCAUUUUAGUUCAUUACUCGCUUUCAGUUUCUGUGAAAACUGGUAUUUUAGGCCAUUUGGCUUACGGUGGCGUAAUCACGUUUAAAAAACGCCUUUUAUCAAAUCGAUGGGAUUUUUCAACGGGUUUUUUUUGUUGUAACUUGAAUACGCCGCAUCGACGGCGAUUAUAUUGAGUUUCCUCAAGAACUGAGUAUUUUUCAUUUGUUUAUUACUCAUUUUAAUAUGUCGGUCGAUGGCAUCGAUUUUUUUUUUUUUCUUUGUCGUUUUGGAAACUUGGACUGAGUUUAAUAAGGACUUAGCUGUAAUUAGCUGUAACCACAAAAAGAAGAGAUCGGGAUCAGAGGGAGAAGCGAGGACCAGUCGACAGCCAGGGGAGGAUCAGGAGAGCUCAGGCCAGUUUGGAGAAGAUGUCGAUCUGGGAAGAGAAGCGGGGCAAGGCGGUGGUCCAGAGGGGAAAAGGGAUCAAUUCAGAGUAGCGACAGCACCACAUGUGGCCACAAGGGGGAGCACAGCCGAUCUAGACCAGACGAGUCCAAAGGCAGCAAGACACAGCACAGAGGGAGGGAGAGAGGGAUGUUCAGGGCCAUCUACAUAGCAUCUUAGUUAUUAGAAGAGGGCGCUUGGUUUGUAUAACGGGUAUAGGUAUCUGUAUACAUUUAAAGUAAAAUUUAUUUUCCCCCCUCAGGUUUUUGUAGAAUGCAUUUGCUCGCAAAAGCUCUGUUCUUUCUUUUCAGACGUGGUGUAUGAAUGUGUGAAAUUCACCGUCAAAGUGUGAGCCACCCUGUUGUUGAUCAAGUCGGGUUUCUGCUGUGAUGAGUGCCUGUAAUCGGCGAUGCACCCUCGUACCAUACAGAUGUAGUCUUCCCCGGAGGAAAGGCGUCUCUCUUUCUGUCCUACUUGCAAUCCAAUAGGUCUGAUCCAAGGUACAAGCUACGUGAACGGUUGUUGGGAGUUGGAAGUUCUUCUGCUUCGCUGUGCUGCUACACAUCGUCUGUCACUACAGUCACGUCCGUGUUCCUCAUGUAUUCGGUGCUGAGGCCAUUGUGUUUCGUUUGCUGGUAAACUUGCCCUCUAAGUUUAUGCAUGAUUAAAAAAAAAAAGCCUUGGAUUUAAAGGGAGUAACUAUUCCCUUGUUUAAUUCCGAUGUAGACUUUGCAAAUGCAGUCUAUAGCGUUUAUUCAGGUAUGAAAACCUACGUCUUUUGGGGCAGUGGGGAGGGACAACUGCGCUUGAGUUUUUUCUUUCACAGGCCAAUCUCAAAGCAAUAGCACCAAGGGCAUCCUUUGCUGUAAUGCACCAAGUGUUCUAAGCUUGAGUAAGUAAUGAUGCAAGGACAAGUGAAUUUCAAUUACUUUGCACUUGGAAACAUAGGCCAAUACAUAAUACCUUUCUAUUACAUUUUUUACAUUUCUUGUAUUUGGGAUGUGGAAAGGGGGUGGGGGGUGUUAACUGAAAUCUCUUCCUAGCCUUUGCAGCUUUUCAGAGUGGCUUAGUUAGAGAACUGAAUAAUGCUGUAUGGUGAAGGAACCUGCAGUCUGUGACUGACCAUAGAAGGCAGCUAGCCCAAGGCAUGGGACCAAGGAAGGAAUCCAAAGGCAUCAAAGAAAUACACUAGUAUCGUAAGAUGGCACACUAUCAGGAUUGUGUUGAAUGUGUACCUCUGUUCCAUUUAUGGAUAUUGAGUCAUGGGGUUUUGGGACUGGGGACUGCUUAAUUGUGACUCUUGCAGAUUUUAGAGGCCCAACCUCUCAAAACUGGUGGUUCAUCUGCUAGCUAUUCCCCUCCUCAAAAGGAUCAAAUCUGCUGAAUACAGGCAGCAUGGGUUUUACCCGUUCAAACGGCAAGUAAUCGGUAUUUUUGGAAAUUAAAAUUUGCAUUUGGUUUUUCAUAUACAUUUGGUUUUUAUGUUUGGGUUGUUUAAAUGGGUGGGGUUGGUUGUAGGCUUUCUCCCCUUUUUUUUCAGUGUGCUGUCCAAGUGCUUUCAUGCUCGAGCUCUGAAGAUCAAACUCUAACACAUUGUAUAUUAAGGUUUGCUUUUGCAUUCAUCAGUCUCUAUUGGUCUUGCAAAGUCUCAAUGUUGGCUCAUGUACUUAACAUUUCAUUGUACUUGGUCAUUCAGUUUCUUGUGACUGCUUGAAUUCUGUAAAUAUUUAUUUUUGAGUAAUAAAUUCAUAGUGUUGUGAUUGAAACGCCUAGUAUGCAUUUUUUUUGGUGUUUGGGAGGGGCUUGUCUUGGGUAUUUCCUGUAUUUUUUCAGGUGUGAAUGUUGAGCUUGGCAAGUUAGUGCACGGGAUGGUCCCAGGGCUUGAUGGCAACUCUUUUCAAGGUGGAAAGGAAGUCAACACAAAUCCGGUCCAACUGCUUUAUGGGAAGCCCAUGUGAAAAGGCAAAGUCCACAUUUGGUUCACUGAAUUUUAUUUUAAUACGGUUUUAUUACAAGUUUGAUUAUGGCAUAGCUUCUUUAAAAGGAACCAGCCCAGUUCUGAUUAUGCUUUGCAAGCAUUUCAAAAUAUUAUUUUGAAUGCUAUGUGAGGGGUGGGCAUGGGGUCUCCUUUUUUGCCUUUUGGUUUUUCAGAAUCAUAAAGCCCUUGAAGAAUGCCAUCUAUCCAGGAAAUAGCAUGUCUAGGAUUCAGCUGCUCCAUUGAAUUCCAACAGGCAGGAUGACUAACUCUGAGGCAAAACUUUAAAGUUACUUGGGCCAUAACUGUGCAACUGUGCAGAUGUGGAUUUAUUUAUUUUAUUUUUUUUAAUCUAAAGCUUUGCAAAUGUAGAGCAAAAACUGUUGUGCAACUGCACUACAAACUCCAAAUUGAGUGGCUGGGUUUAGCUGUGCAACUGUGCAGCUAAAAUUGGGCAAUGUUAUUGACGUGUAUGGAAAAUUUGGUAUUGGCUGGGUAGGGGGCUUUCUCUUAUAUUCUUCUCUGCAGAAAUAUAUUCCUCCAGUUAUCUGAUGCAAACUAGACGGGGUCAUGUGGAGCACGUAGAAACCAGUGUGGUGGAAGUGUGCGUGUGUCUCUCUCUUGAAGCCUCUUUGUUCCAGAUCACUCGUCUGUCAACUUGGUUCAUAACUGCAUCUGAAUGCCUAGCUGUUUGUGGUCAAUGACCCUCACUGAAUGGUGAUCCUUUCUCCUGUCUGCUUGAGAGCUUAAUCCAAACCUCUGAAGGCCCCCGUCAACAUCCUCUGCGUGCUGUGUUGCUGUGUGCGCGUCUUUCUGUUCUGUUUCCCCUCCAUUUUCUCAGGUUAAUUUUGCUAAGGGUGCAAAAUUUGUCUUGAGUGUGCUGCCUUGGACAGCCCUAACUUUGAUGGAGCACUGGGAUAUCCAGUCACUCUCUGAUCAACUUGAGGCUUGUCUUGCUGCUAUUUGAGCAUCACUCUGCUGCUACCUGAUAAUGGAGUUAAGUAAACAUGGUUCAUUUCAUAGGUAUAUGUAGCUUUAAAUUUUAAUUGCAUGCACACCAGCUUUGCACUACAAACAUCCAAGUUUCAUUUAAGGCACUUCAUCUGAAAGUGUAGUUGUUUUGGGUGACAUGGGGGGGGUGGAGGGGUCAGGGAAACACUGUCUCUCUUGUUUUUGCAGAUACACCAUCUUGGCUCGACAAAUCUUACAAUCGUCCUGUAACGUUGAGUGGAUGGAUGUGUGGUCUUAAUGUUCCUACAGUCUGGAGCUGCCAGCUGUCUGCAGUAGUAACAGUCCCUUUUGUAUUGGUUUGGAUGGUUGGAUAAAAUAAUACAAUGAUGUAAUGGGUGGGGGUGGGGGGUUGCCAUAAUCUCUCUCCUUUUUUCUUUUUCCUCCUUCAUUGCAGCUCACAGCAGUGUGGUGAUGGGAACUUUGUAAGGAUUCACUGGUGAAAUUGAUAAGUUUGCUUCAGCCAUUAAGAUUGAUUUCAUAUUAUAAAA